AAAGGAAACGAUUUCAACCUUGUCGAAGAACCGAGUUCAACUUAUCUUGGUUAUAAUUCCGGUUACGCAAACGCAAGGGCGCAAAAAGACAGGUAGGGUACAACAUGUUAAUUAAAUGGAUUGCCGAUUACGAAACACGAAGGAGGAACAGAUGUAGAAGGCCGUUAAUUAAUUCAGAUAGUAGGACGAACAGUGUUGAUCAGAGUGAAUUUCCAUUAAUCCGAAAAUACAAUAUCCUCGAUUGGGUUGUUCACGUGUCUGGUGUCGACACUGUCGACCUCACGCGGCCCAUAGAACACGUGACACACCAUGGCCACGUGAUAAAAGGGGGAGGAACUUAUUCUUUCUUCCUUCACAGUGAGAAACGAGCCAGAAGCUCUUUCUUACCGCGUGGUUACGCUUUUAACAGCCUCGAACGUUUACAUAACCGUUUAUAGUAGGAAAAUCCUUCUACCCUUUGCACGGAAGAUUAACUAUAGCUGUGGUUAACUGGUUAAGGAUGAAAGACAUUUCUAAACUUAAUUUAACUACGGUCGAUCACAAAAAUACUGGGACACCAGUGCAAUCUCACUUGAAAGUCACGUAUUUUGAAUAUAUAUGCAACCAGCAACAAAAAUACAUUGCAUCAUAUAUAUCAUCAAUAAUAAUAAUAAUAGUCACCAAUCCUCUUAUCUUUUAUAGUGUUUUUAUAAAAGAAUAUAUUGCUCUUCUUUGGUUAUUAACAGUUUCUCAAGUUAUUCCGUUGUAAUAUUAGAUGUGCAAGCUGAAUGUUGCGGACAUUUGUACAAUAUCGGCUACAGAUGUAAACAAAUUUAAGGGGGAUUCUUGAAGCUAAAAUAAGAUGAAAAUCAAGAAUAAAAAAAUUGAGUUUUCGGCUUUGUUUUUUAGUUAUUGACAAUUAAAUGUUAGCCGAAAUAUCCCUAUGCUCGAGCAAACCUUCUUACACGAAUAAAAGUAGGUCAGCCUGAGCAACGAGGUGCACAGGGAUCCUCAAAUAGAACGAUACAUGGGCAGCAGCUUUUUCCCGUAAACGGUUUUUCAAUUCUUCUCUGCUAUUGAUUGGUGUUUUAUGUGUGUAUUUAACUGUGUAUUCUGUCGGCCAUUUUUGUCUAUUAGAAAAUAUUUCAGAUUCGAGUUCAAUAUGGAAAAAUUGUUAUUCGUAUGAGUAGCCCCUCUUCUUUUACGAUAAACAUGUCUUUAAGAUAUUAUAAAGCUUUUGCUAAUUCGAGGAUCGCGACAGGGUUAAGCUGGCUUUUUCGAUCUUGCUGUUGAGACUUACUAGCAGAAAAUUACUCAUUGAGUAUUUAGUUUGUUAUUUACAAAAAUUGAAAAAGAUUAAUUCAUAAACAAGAUUAAUUUAUGUAUAAAAAUAAAAAAUAGUGAAAUAAGAGAUAAAUUCGGCUACAAUAGAACACAGUAUCGACUCUGGGCGAACUAUUUUACUAUUGAAAUAAAAAAGAUAGAAAGAACAGAGAAUAUAUCGGGAAAAUGAUUGCUUUCACUGAUCUCUUUUUCGAAAAACAAUCACCGCGCAAGUUACAGCGAAAUUUCUCUAAAUCGGUGCGACAUUUCGCCAACCUCUUGUACAGUGCUGUCCAAAAGUAUCAGAAACUUACUUGCAAUAAUUUACGUGGAGAAAAGUUAUUAUCAAAAGUAUCAUAUAGUGAUUGUAUUAAACUGGUGAAGAAAGAAGUUUCCAAGAAGAAGAUAUAUUAAAGCAGGAAUAGGAUAUAGGAGAAAUAAGGAUGAAGAUAGGUAAGAUGUAGCUGGAGAAGUGAGUGCAAGGAUGAGGAAUAAUCAAGUGGAGAAGGUGGUAGACUGAUGGUGGUUAUGAAGUGAAGUAGUAAAGGGAAUAUAAUAAUAGUAAUCGAUGAAACUGAGUAAUUAAGGAAAGGAAUUCCUGGAAAAGGAAGGAAGGGGGAAAUAUCUAUAGUAGGAAAUACUUAAAGAAAAUGAUGCAAAUGAUAUGUUUACAAAAUGUGCGGAAUGUAUCCAUACAAUAAAGAAAAACAGUAUAUACCAUAGAAAAUUCCUAACGAUAAAAAGAAGCAGCACAAGUAUCAAUGAAAAAACAAAAACCCAAGCAAGAAAAAGAAAAAGAACCCAAAAAGAAAAGAACCCAGCAAAAAGGAGGUCGUUGAUGAAGAAAAAAGCAAUAUAAAAAAUUGUACUAAAAAUGAAAUUCCAAUAAUAAAAGAAGGCGAUGAAAGAGGUAUAACGAGAGGACAAUAAAAAAUUUCAAUGAUUAAGAGAAGACGCGCUAAAAAGAAUUCUGGUAACAAAAAGAUAUAGAGAAGGGGGCGUGGUAAAAAGAAACCAUUGCGACAAUUAAUAAAAAUUAAAAGACACCAAAAAAUAAAUAGCAAUUUAAAAAAACAGUGACAAACUCAAAAUUUCAAUAAGUAAAAAACAUCAAAGAAAGAAUUUCCAUAAAAAGAUAUCAGUGAGUAAGAUAUCAAUGGCUCUUACGAAGCGGUCUCUCCACUGAUUUUGUUCUACUCUGUGUACGACUGCUGGACGAAUAAGAUAAAGGAACAAGGUAAGAGGGGUAAGUGGUUGGAGUAGUGUGAAACGAGUCUCACAGUCAAAAAUAAAAGUUUAUUAAUUCCAUGCCGAUUUUGAAGAUAAUUAAAAGUUCAGAACGUCUUCGCGACGCUCUUUUGAUCCGGACAGUUACUUAGUUGCAAAUAAUAUACCUGACUUCAGCAAAUUUUCCUAUUUCGUAAACCAAUUUAAUUUGCACCCUCCAUGAAAAAAGUAUAAAAUGAAAUUGAAUAUUUUGGAACUAUUGUUGGAUAAAUAAAUAGUUCGGACGCAAUUUGAUUUCUUUUUUGCUUUUUUAGUGUUUCAAUAUGAAGAUAAAUAACCUAAGAAACAGUAUAUUGAGUCAAAUAUCAUUACUAAGGUUCUUCAUUUGAUUUCUGACUAAUAAUUCUUAAAAAAGUGCAGCCAUGUGAAGUGCUUUGGUAGCACUGAAUGUGUCAAUGUAAUUUAAACAUUGUAAUUGUACUGCUAUGUAGUUUUGUAAAAAUGAGUAAACAUAGCUGUAUGAAAUGUAUGAAAGCUAUUCAGCUGGCUUUUUUGCUCAUCAAACUGUUAUGUACUUAUUACACUUACUGUAAACUUAGUAUUAAAGUAGCUGCUUGGUUGUAAAUUUACAGACUAAACAAUAAAAUAACGAAUCUUCUGAAAAGAAUAGCUUGAAACGUUUAUUUAAAUACAUAUUCGUACAAUAAAGAGGCAAUUAAAUGCUCUGCAGUGAGUACCCUUUUAAAAAAGAACACAAUUUUAAACAUGCUAUAAGCAAUGGAAAUUAAGCAAUGAAAAGAUUCUUAACAAUGAGAUCGAACAGUUUUCUUUCCACGGCACAAAAUGCACAUUGCAAAUGUGUAUAGCUGUAGUUUCAAGCUUUAAUUUUAUAUAAAAAUUAAAAGUGAAUUGUUGUGCGUAUGUAUCUUUCCACCUCUUUUUGUUUUAAGGUCUGUUUUGGUCCCAAGAAAAUUUUGGACAGCACAUAAUUAUUAUAAA
This is a long non-coding RNA of Bombus huntii, 3528 nucleotides long. RefSeq lists it as uncharacterized. NCBI's taxonomy places the organism in Eukaryota, Metazoa, Arthropoda, Insecta, Hymenoptera, Apidae. The record is from RefSeq and is a predicted model, not a curated record. The transcript is spliced from 5 exons.